Molecule: transfer RNA, 72 nt
Filed under: Pneumocystis canis
Lineage: Eukaryota; Fungi; Ascomycota; Pneumocystomycetes; Pneumocystales; Pneumocystaceae
Description: tRNA-Ile
Rfam family: tRNA
About the family: Transfer RNA (tRNA) molecules are approximately 80 nucleotides in length. Their secondary structure includes four short double-helical elements and three loops (D, anti-codon, and T loops).
Source: RNAcentral
GAUUUUUUAACUUAACGGAUAAAGUGCAAACUUGAUAAGUUUGAAAUAUAGGUUCAAUUCCUUUAAAAAUCA